CGGCUUAUAGUUUAAUUGGUAGAACCCAGCCCUCAUGAGGUUGUUUGUGUAGGUUCAAAUCCUGCUGGGCCGA
Molecule: transfer RNA, 73 nt
Filed under: Schizocladia ischiensis
Lineage: Eukaryota; Schizocladiophyceae; Schizocladiales; Schizocladiaceae
Description: tRNA-Ile
Rfam family: tRNA
About the family: Transfer RNA (tRNA) molecules are approximately 80 nucleotides in length. Their secondary structure includes four short double-helical elements and three loops (D, anti-codon, and T loops).
Source: RNAcentral